RNAcentral lists this ribosomal RNA (539 nucleotides) under marine sediment bacterium BB0608_2216_8.1_2G0. Its description in RNAcentral is "bacterial SSU rRNA". It matches the Rfam family "Bacterial small subunit ribosomal RNA", at positions 125 to 699 of the family's 1533-position model. The record is from RNAcentral.
CGUGCCCAUCACUGCGGAAUAGUCCCUGGAAACGGGGUUUAAUACCGCAUACGCCCUUCGGGGGAAAGAAUUUCGGUGAUGGAUCGGCCCGCGUCUGAUUAGGUAGUUGGUGGGGUAACGGCCUACCAAGCCGACGAUCAGUAGCUGGUUUGAGAGGAUGAUCAGCCACACUGGGACUGAGACACGGCCCAGACUCCUACGGGAGGCAGCAGUGGGGAAUCUUAGACAAUGGGGGAAACCCUGAUCUAGCCAUGCCGCGUGUGUGACGAAGGCCCUAGGGUCGUAAAGCACUUUCACCGGGGAAGAUAAUGACGGUACCCGGAGAAGAAACCCCGGCUAACUCCGUGCCAGCAGCCGCGGUAAUACGGAGGGGGUUAGCGUUGUUCGGAAUUACUGGGCGUAAAGCGCGCGUAGGCGGGCUGUUAAGUCGAGGGUGAAAUCCCGGGGCUCAACCCCGGAACUGCCUUCGAUACUGGCAGCCUAGAGUUCGAGAGAGGUGAGUGGAACUCCGAGUGUAGAGGUGAAAUUCGUAGAUAUUC